UACGUAGGGUGCAAGCGUUGUCCGGAAUUAUUGGGCGUAAAGAGCUCGUAGGCGGUCUGUCGCGUCGGCUGUGAAAUCCCGAGGCUCAACCUCGGGUCUGCAGUCGAUACGGGCAAACUAGAGUAUUGCAGGGGAGACUGGAAUUCCUGGUGUAGCGGUGAAAUGCGCAGAUAUCAGGAGGAACACCGGUGGCGAAGGCGGGUCUCUGGGCCUUACCUGACGCUCAGGUGCGAAAGCUAGGGGAGCGAACAGG
This 253-nucleotide ribosomal RNA is filed under the name uncultured bacterium. Its description in RNAcentral is "partial 16S ribosomal RNA". It matches the Rfam family "Bacterial small subunit ribosomal RNA", at positions 524 to 776 of the family's 1533-position model. The record is from RNAcentral.